This 537-nucleotide ribosomal RNA is filed under the name uncultured Pseudomonadota bacterium. RNAcentral's name for it is "bacterial SSU rRNA". It matches the Rfam family "Bacterial small subunit ribosomal RNA", at positions 8 to 522 of the family's 1533-position model. The record is from RNAcentral. Lineage: Bacteria; Pseudomonadati; Pseudomonadota.
AGAGUUUGAUCCUGGCUCAGAACGAACGCUGGCGGCGUGCCUAACACAUGCAAGUCGCGCGAGAAAGUGGGGGCAACUCCAUGAGUAAAGCGGCGCACGGGUGAGUAAUACGUAGGUAACCUGCCUUCGAGAUCGGGAUAACCUUCCGAAAGGAGGGCUAAUACUGGAUGAGACCACAGAGUUUCGGCUCCGUGGUCAAAGGUGGCCUCUGCUCGCAAGCUACCGCUCGAAGAUGGGCCUGCGCACCAUUAGCUAGUUGGCGAGGUAACGGCUCACCAAGGCGAAGAUGGUUAGCUGAUCUGAGAGGAUGAUCAGCCACACUGGGACUGAGACACGGCCCAGACUCCUACGGGAGGCAGCAGUGGGGAAUCUUGGACAAUGGGGGAAACCCUGAUCCAGCGACGCCGCGUGGGUGAUGAAGGCCUUCGGGUCGUAAAGCCCUGUCGGGGGGGAAGAAACUCUUGCCGGUGAACAAUCGGCGAGACCGACGGUACCCCCUAAGGAAGCACCGGCUACUCCGUGCCAGCAGCCGCGGUA